RNAcentral lists this ribosomal RNA (738 nucleotides) under Roseobacter sp. PRLISY01. RNAcentral's name for it is "bacterial SSU rRNA". It matches the Rfam family "Bacterial small subunit ribosomal RNA", at positions 8 to 790 of the family's 1533-position model. The record is from RNAcentral. Lineage: Bacteria; Pseudomonadati; Pseudomonadota; Alphaproteobacteria; Rhodobacterales; Roseobacteraceae.
GGAGAGUUUGAUCAUGGCUCAGAACGAACGCUGGCGGCAGGCCUAACACAUGCAAGUCGAGCGAGACCUUCGGGUCUAGCGGCGGACGGGUUAGUAACGCGUGGGAACGUACCCUUUUCUAAGGAAUAGCCACUGGAAACGGUGAGUAAUGCCUUAUGCKCCCUUCGGGGGAAAGAUUUAUCGGAGAAGGAUCGGCCCGCGUUAGAUUAGAUAGUUGGUGGGGUAAUGGCCUACCAAGUCUACGAUCUAUAGCUGGUUUGAGAGGAUGAUCAGCAACACUGGGACUGAGACACGGCCCAGACUCCUACGGGAGGCAGCAGUGGGGAAUCUUAGACAAUGGGCGCAAGCCUGAUCUAGCCAUGCCGCGUGAGUGAUGAAGGCCUUAGGGUCGUAAAGCUCUUUCGCCUGUGAAGAUAAUGACUGUAGCAGGUAAAGAAACCCCGGCUAACUCCGUGCCAGCAGCCGCGGUAAUACGGAGGGGGUUAGCGUUGUUCGGAAUUACUGGGCGUAAAGCGCGCGUAGGCGGACAUUUAAGUCAGAGGUGAAAUCCCAGGGCUCAACCCUGGAACUGCCUUUGAUACUGGGUGUCUUGAGUUCGAGAGAGGUGAGUGGAAUUCCGAGUGUAGAGGUGAAAUUCGUAGAUAUUCGGAGGAACACCAGUGGCGAAGGCGGCUCACUGGCUCGAUACUGACGCUGAGGUGCGAAAGUGUGGGGAGCAAACAGGAUUAGAUACCCUGG